This 497-nucleotide ribosomal RNA is filed under the name uncultured bacterium. RNAcentral's name for it is "partial 16S ribosomal RNA". It matches the Rfam family "Bacterial small subunit ribosomal RNA", at positions 28 to 507 of the family's 1533-position model. The record is from RNAcentral.
GAUGAACGCUGGCGGCGUGCCUAAUACAUGCAAGUCGAGCGAACGGACGAGGAGCUUGCUCCUCUGACGUUAGCGGCGGACGGGUGAGUAACACGUGGAUAACCUACCUAUAAGACUGGGAUAACUUCGGGAAACCGGAGCUAAUACCGGAUAAUAUAUUGAACCGCAUGGUUCAAUAGUGAAAGACGGUUUUGCUGUCACUUAUAGAUGGAUCCGCGCCGCAUUAGCUAGUUGGUAAGGUAACGGCUUCCCAAGGCGACGAUGCGUAGCCGACCUGAGAGGGUGAUCGGCCACACUGGAACUGAGACACGGUCCAGACUCCUACGGGAGGCAGCAGUAGGGAAUCUUCCGCAAUGGGCGAAAGCUUGACGGAGCAACGCCGCGUGAGUGAUGAAGGUCUUCGGAUCGUAAAACUCUGUUAUUAGGGAAGAACAAAUGUGUAAGUAACUAUGCACGUCUUGACGGUACCUAAUCAGAAAGCCACGGCUAACUACGUG